AUUGAACGCUGGCGGCAGGCCUCACACAUGCGAGUCGAGCGGAGCGGCGGACGGGAGAGGAAUGCAUAGGAAUAUGCCUGGUAGUGGGGGAUAACGUCAGGAAGAGGGCGAUAAUAACGCAUACUUGCAGAUGAGUCUAGGCCGGAUGAGCUAGUUGGUGGGGGAAAGGCCUACCACGGCGACGAUCCGUAACUGGUCUGAGAGGCUGAUCAGCCACACUGGAACUGAGACACGGUCCAGACUCCUACGGGAGGCAGCAGUGGGGAAUAUUGGACAAUGGGCGCAAGCCUGAUGCAGCCAUGCCGCGUGUGUGAAGAAGGUCUUCGGAUUGUAAAGCCCUUUAAGUUGGGAGGCGUUACCAGCAGAAUAAGCACCGGCUAACUUCGUGCCAGCAGCCGCGGUAAUUC
RNAcentral lists this ribosomal RNA (407 nucleotides) under uncultured bacterium. RNAcentral describes it as "partial 16S ribosomal RNA". It matches the Rfam family "Bacterial small subunit ribosomal RNA", at positions 30 to 526 of the family's 1533-position model. The record is from RNAcentral.